RNAcentral lists this ribosomal RNA (137 nucleotides) under uncultured eukaryote. RNAcentral describes it as "partial 18S ribosomal RNA". It matches the Rfam family "Eukaryotic small subunit ribosomal RNA", at positions 1299 to 1458 of the family's 1831-position model. The record is from RNAcentral.
UGGUGGAGCGAUUUGUCUGGUUAAUUCCGAUAACGAACGAGACUCUGGCCUAUUAAAUAGUUCGCCGAUUCCGAUCUGUGGCGUUAACUUCUUAGAGGGACAAGUGGCUUUUAGCCACGCGAGAUUGAGCAAUAACA